CGGCCGCACGGCGGGAGGGGGCUGCGCUCAGCCGCGGCUGGGGGGGGCGGGCGGCAGCGGCUCCGGUACCUGGGCGGGAGGGAACGGGGCUGGAGGCGGCCCCGACCCUGUGAGCAUCACCUUCCUGCUCUGCAUCCCGCAGCCAGGGCAGCCUAAGGCCCAGAAAUGCACCCUGUGCCUUGCAGGAUCCAACUUUUCACAGGGAACUUUUGUUCAGGGCUCCUUUUGAGUCUCUGGGUGCUUCUCCAACCAGCUUUUCAUCUGUUGCUCCCCAGCUGGGGCAAAGAGCAAGGUGAGAGGAGGUGAAAGGUGGAGGGAGCUCCAAAAGAGGUGCUUGUUCACAAAUUCAAAACAAGACUUGUCGCAAAUACUAAGGAGAGGGGGAAGGGAAACUAUUUUUGAUUGCUUUCUGUUUGAUUGUUUUGUGGCUAUUUCUAACGACUGCAGUUAAAAUAAAUUGGGAUUUUGAGUGUGAUUGUUUUUAUAAUUGAAUGUUACCCUUUAAGUAGCUGUUCGGUAUCUGCACCUGCCCUGAAGAGAACUGGAAGACAGAAGGGUUACAUUGUGUUCAGGCUGCGGAGGGGAGCAUUUCCAAGCCUUAUUCAUUUGGAAAGAGAUUUCUGGGAUAUGCAGAUUCCACCCUUCUGACAUCACUGCCUCAUCUCGCCUCAUCGGUGCCUCAUGACACAACCCCUCUCCACAGCACUGAGUCAGCACCACUGUGUGAUCUCCUCUUGGCCAUGCAAGAUGGUGAAAAGCUGCCUAUAAUGGUGAAAGCAUAAAGGAACCUCUAAACAGGUCCCCAAAGGGAUUAAAAAAUUCAUGGUCAUCUUAUGAGAACCCCUCCCAGGAAAUAACAUGUGCUUGGAAAAAUUUACUGUACAGUAACACAGCAGUGUUCUAUGGGAGUGCUCCCACAGCAGAUGGAACAAUAAUUCAUACUGUGUGUUCAAAGAAAGGAGCAAGGAACACUUGCACUUCACUCUGGGAGCUUCAAAAAAGAUGCCAAGCAUCUUUUAGUUAGUUACUGCACCCCAGUAACUAACAGGUACAGGCUGAUUCUGCCUGCUGCACUCUUCUAUAGGCCUGGACUGAAAGAAUAUUUCUUAAAGCAUCCUUGGAAGUGUCCAAGGCCAAGUUGCAGCCUUGCACAUGAAGAGGGGUUUGAAACUAGAUGAUCUUUAAGGUCUCUUCCAACCCAAACUGUUCUAUGAUUCUGUGAAAGCAUCACACACAUGGAGUGCUAACCCUCCUCCCCCCCUAAAAAAGCUGUUUCCUAUUUUGGGAAAAAAAGCCCAGAACAAAACAAUCAAAUGGAAAGAAUCUGAAAUAUUCAUAUAAUGGUUGAAUUGCAAGAGGCAAUGUAAAGAGGAGUUUUAUGUUGGAAGAAACUCAGCCACAUGAAAACUAAAAUAUUGGGCCACUACCCCCAAGUCUGGUCUUAAACAGUCCCUGAGUCUCUAAACACAACCCCAAAAACACUCUGUGCUGCACCUCAGUGUGUCAUUCUGUACAAUAGGGCCAGAUUUUCUUCCUGGAAAACCAGGUCCAGAGGCCAGGAGGCUCUUGUUCUAUUUGCACAUGCAAGUCCUUUUGUUGGGGGAUUUAGGUCACAAGAGGGUAGGAAAGGCAGCUCUGAAUCACCUGGCUCUUGCACGUGUUGCUUGCACGUUGUGCAAAGGUUUCUGAACUCAGCCUCCUUUCAAGACACACCCUUUGUUUGUUACUUUCUCUUAGGGCUUUUUCGCAACCCCAUCCACUGCCAACACAAACAAGGUUGCAACAUCACCCUCCAGUCUGUCUUCCUCUGCUCUAAAUGUCAACCAGCCACAUAGCGCUGCUCACUUGCUUAAUUGGGCAAAAUACCUGCUGUGGCAGCCCUGUGCCUUGACUGCCUCCAGGAGAAAGUUUCUUGGGAAUGGUUGCUGAAACAAGAAGUGUGUCCAGCCUCCAGGGCUUGCCAGCAGCUAUUGACUGAUACGAGCACACUGUCCUCGGUGGCAGGAGGGAGCAACUUGCUUUAUCUAUGCAUUCCCUGGCAAGCAGCAGCAGUGGAGAAAGAGACAUGUCUCACUGGCCAGUGUCCAGUCCCUGGCAAGCCAAAUCAUUCUACAAGCUCUGAAACUGAAGAUAAAAAAUCAGCAAUGGAACAUUGCUGCUUGAGUCAGAGGUGUGAAGGAAUCAGCUCUCCACUCCAUGAUCCAUCCUCCAGCUCACAGCUGGUACAAAUGGGUACAUCCUUGGCAGUUCAAUCACUACUGUCCCAUUGGCUGGAAAUGUUGUAUUUUCUGACAUUAGAGUAUACACAGAUUCAUCUCAGAUGGCAACCAUGAAACUAAAUGUGCUGUUGUAAUGAUGGGAAAAAUCUUCAGUGCUUUGUUUUAUUUGACCAGUCCUCAAAAGUCAAGGUGUGACUCAUUGCACAGCCAGAGGUUAUAAUGAAGUAUCCCACUCAUCCUUUAGCUCACCCUUUGUUCGAGACAAUGUGGAUUGCGGAAGGUUUCUGAGGAGCCAAAAGUUGGUGAAGGCUCCUGAGUGUCCCCGUUUGCCAUGCAGAGGUUCAGAGUUAGCAAUGCAGGCUGGCUGCCUACGUGCUCUCAGCUAGAGACUUUUAAAGAGCAGCAGCAGGAGUAAAACUGGUGAGAUUUCUUUGCUUCCUUCUCAGCUUUUCAGAGCCCAGGCAGCUUUGUUUGACUUACAGUGCUUUGCUAAAACAGUGUAUCUGGUGUGUCAACCUCUGUUCUGCCUCACACAUGGCAUCAUUUUUCCCCUCUGUCCCUUCACUGUGUCCUGCUCAGGACACCUCAGCCUGGCAGAGCACAGAUCCAGUGCAGAACCAGUAACAGACCAGUAAGAGAAGGGAGAAAACUGGCCAGAUGGAUAUCUGAGCUGCUCAAAAUCACAAGCACCAAGAGAAGCAAAUUAAUCUCAGUGCCCCCUCAUUCUCUUUCUGGUCUUUAACUGAGCCUCAAAAAUAGCCCUGAUUUAUUGGAAACUCUUGAGAAGCAAGAAAAUGUACAAAAAAACCCUAUUCCCAUACAAUCAACUAGCAAAACCCAGGAGGCAGAGCAUUUGCUGGCUGGCUACAAUAGAGCUUUGCAAGUGUCCCUGCUAAAAUCAUCCCUGCUAGGGGCUAAUGUGAUGCUUGUCUUAGCUUGUUAGAGAGCCUCGUUGUCUUCAGACACGUACUUGAAAAACAAUGCUGGUGGUUGGUUGCUACCUGAGGGAAGAAGGACAAAGGAUCUCGGCUGUCUCUGUGGAAUGGUCACUGGUCAGGUCACCCCAAGCCUGACCUGCAAUACCAAGUGCAUGCUGCAAAUCCAUUGCUGUCAGCCCUUGUGUUUUGUCUCAUCUAUGGAGCCCCAGCCACCUCUGACCUCUUCCUUCCCUUCCUUCAGGCCAUGAGGCUCCUGCUCAGCUGCUCUGUAGCUUCCCCCCACCCGGAGGGAGGACAGGCUAGGGGAGGUGACAACCUUCAGCAAAGGUUAAGACUGGAAAAGAAGGAAGUGUCAGCUCAAUCAGGUCAGCUCAGCCAACCAACUGCUGCUGUAAUCCCUCUGCCUCAGGUCCCUGUGCUGUUGUGCUCGUGCUCUGAAUGUUACUGUAUGAGCAGCAGCCUUGUCCCCACAGUACUGUCAGCCUGCAGCAUCCAGACAGGGAGAUGGGGAAAAGGGGUAAAGAGAAUCUCCCAGAACUGUUUCCAGAUCCUCCUCUUCCAGUGUGUUUCAGAAGCAUGCACUUUGAGAUGGACUUUACUCCAGAAGUUCAGAAGCCCAGACUUGGCACCCUCUGAUUUCUCCAGAAGAAGGCUGAGAGCUAGAUAUGGAUCAAUUCUUAUGCUGAACCUCCAAAUUCACAGCAAACCCAGAAGCUUUGAGAAGCUGUCAGUGACACGACCCCAGUUCUCUCUGCCCAUGUCUGAGGUGCCUCUUCUGGGAUGGGAGCAACUGAGUCUCACCAAUCUGUCAGCAACCAGGAGGAAGCCAGGAAACAAAUAAACAAUAAAAGUUGGUGCUGCACUUCAUACAGCAGCCAGUGCAUUA
RNA transcript from Parus major (Great Tit), 4043 nucleotides. RefSeq lists it as uncharacterized. The record is from RefSeq and is a predicted model, not a curated record. NCBI's taxonomy places the organism in Eukaryota, Metazoa, Chordata, Aves, Passeriformes, Paridae. The transcript is spliced from 6 exons.